RNAcentral lists this transfer RNA (48 nucleotides) under Aphanotorulus emarginatus. RNAcentral's name for it is "partial tRNA-Leu". It matches the Rfam family "tRNA", at positions 25 to 71 of the family's 71-position model. From Rfam's summary of the family: Transfer RNA (tRNA) molecules are approximately 80 nucleotides in length. The record is from RNAcentral. Lineage: Eukaryota; Metazoa; Chordata; Actinopteri; Siluriformes; Loricariidae.
AUUGGUCUUAGGAACCAAAAACUCUUGGUGCAAAUCCAAGUAGCAGCU